Molecule: unclassified non-coding RNA, 308 nt
Filed under: Hevea brasiliensis (rubber tree)
Lineage: Eukaryota; Viridiplantae; Streptophyta; Magnoliopsida; Malpighiales; Euphorbiaceae
Source: RNAcentral
AUAAAAGGGUUAGUUUGUAUAUUUUCCCGGUUAUUGUCCAGUUCUUAAUUUUGGUUGAGUAGCUAGAACUCUCAGCCAUUCAGAGAUUUAUUUGCUUUUUAAGUUCUUGCAUUUUUUUAAUAGCUUAUCAGUGUAAAAUAACUUCUAAGUCAGAAAUAAAUGGCAAUGUAAUUGAGAUUUUCUUUUCUGAAGGGAUUUUUGUCCACUAUAUUGUUUACAUUUUAGACACUUGUGUUUGUCUUUUUCUUGGUUUCAAUCACUGAAUUUUAUUUUUGCUUUUUUCAGAGAAGAAACAACUAUAACCAGGG